Molecule: ribosomal RNA, 439 nt
Filed under: uncultured bacterium
Lineage: Bacteria
Description: partial 16S ribosomal RNA
Rfam family: Bacterial small subunit ribosomal RNA
Source: RNAcentral
CCUACGGGUGGCAGCAGUGGGGAAUAUUGCACAAUGGGGGAAACCCUGAUGCAGCGACGCCGCGUGAGUGAAGAAGUAUUUCGGUAUGUAAAGCUCUAUCAGCAGGGAAGAAAAUGACGGUACCUGCUUAAGAAGCUCCGGCUAACUACGUGCCAGCAGCCGCGGGAAUACGUAGGGGGCAAGCGUUAUCCGGAUUUACUGGGUGAAAAGGGAGCGUCGACGGCAGAACAAGUCUGGAGUGAAAUGCCGGGGCUUAACCCCGGAACGGCUUUGGAAACUGUGCAGCUAGAGUGCAGGAGAGGUAAGUGGAAUUCCUAGUGUAGCGGUGAAAUGCGUAUAUAUUAGGAGGAACACCAGUGGCGAAGGCGGCUUACUGGACUGUAACUGACGUUGAGGCUCGAAAGCGUGGGGAGCAAACAGGAUUAGAUACCCAGUAGUC